This 491-nucleotide ribosomal RNA is filed under the name uncultured bacterium. Its description in RNAcentral is "partial 16S ribosomal RNA". It matches the Rfam family "Bacterial small subunit ribosomal RNA", at positions 29 to 506 of the family's 1533-position model. The record is from RNAcentral.
AGUGAACGCUGGCGGUAGGCCUAACACAUGCCAGUCGAACGGCAGCACAGUAAGAGCUUGCUCUUACGGGUGGCGAGUGGCGGACGGGUGAGGAAUACAUCGGAAUCUACUUUUUCGUGGGGGAUAACGUAGGGAAACUUACGCUAAUACCGCAUACGACCUACGGGUGAAAGCAGGGGAUCUUCGGACCUUGCGCGAUUGAAUGAGCCGAUGUCGGAUUAGCUAGUUGGCGGGGUAAAGGCCCACCAAGGCGACGAUCCGUAGCUGGUCUGAGAGGAUGAUCAGCCACACUGGAACUGAGACACGGUCCAGACUCCUACGGGAGGCAGCAGUGGGGAAUAUUGGACAAUGGGCGCAAGCCUGACCCAGCCAUACCGCGUGGGUGAAGAAGGCCUUCGGGUUGUAAAGCCCUUUUGUUGGGAAAGAAAAGCAGCAGGUUAAUACCCCGCUGUUCUGACGGUACCCAAAGAAUAAGCACCGGCUAACUUCGG